Molecule: transfer RNA, 92 nt
Filed under: Syntrophomonadaceae bacterium
Lineage: Bacteria; Bacillati; Bacillota; Clostridia; Eubacteriales; Syntrophomonadaceae
Description: tRNA-Ser
Rfam family: tRNA
About the family: Transfer RNA (tRNA) molecules are approximately 80 nucleotides in length. Their secondary structure includes four short double-helical elements and three loops (D, anti-codon, and T loops).
Source: RNAcentral
GGAGAGAUGGCUGAGUCCGGUUGAAGGCGCUCGACUCGAAAUCGAGUGAACCAUUAAUGGUUCCGUGGGUUCGAAUCCCACUCUCUCCGCCA